RNAcentral lists this long non-coding RNA (1041 nucleotides) under Anser brachyrhynchus (Pink-footed goose). RNAcentral's name for it is "lncRNA (ENSABRG00000002752.1)". The record is from RNAcentral. Lineage: Eukaryota; Metazoa; Chordata; Aves; Anseriformes; Anatidae.
CCUUUUCCCAGCGGACCAGAGGCCUGACAAAGCAGGUCCAGGAGCAGAGGUUCAGCUCCAGAGCCAGCGAUCAGUGACACAGGUCACGCCGAGUCCAUCACUACAUGUUCCUUCCUUCCCCUGGGGGGCAGCAGAAUAUUGCUGUUAAGGACCAUAUUUUCAUGGUUUCAGUUUACUCUUCAAUGUUUGGGGUGAGAAUAAAGAGCCAACCAAACCAGAAGACACUUUUGUACACACGAUGGCAUGUCCUACCACAGGGUGCAAGUGUUGCCCUUCUCAUCUUCACCUGCUGCUCCUUGCUCAGGCUGCAGCAUCACUGCCCAUUGCAGGGGGAGUUUUGGUCCUGUUACCCUAGAACAGCUGAAAACCACGAAGGGAUAUUAGCAGGAUGUUUUCAUUGCCAAACAUCAUCAGCCGAGUCAUUUACUGAAUCUGAACGUCUUGCGUCUGGGCUGCAGGAAAGCAGACAUCCACAAGUGACUCUGAGGACCGAUGUGACUCACAGCACUUUAUUGCUGGUGGUGGCAUGUGAGAAGGCAAGACAGCAGUCUGAAUCACAGAGCCCAGUCCCAGCCUGUGGGGCUGGUAGCUGGCACGUUUUCUUUGCUUGUAGCCAGAGCACAGCUCUUAUGGAAGCCACUGAACGUCGACGGAUGGUAAACCUGAAUGCUGUGUGCCACUUUCUUGCACUCAUUUCACAGCAUGUAAGAGCAUUGUAAGAGCAAAACCAUUUCUCAGAUCUGCAGCGUGGCUCCUGAAUCCAAUACUGCCUUUCUCUGUAUAGGAAUAGGACUUCUCAGCAUAUGAAGGAACAGCAUCAGAAGCGAAAUGUCAUUUGCAAGUUGGAGGCAAAAAUUUUGCCCUGAGACUAGUUAACAAUGAAAUGUAAAAGAUGCAGAGAUUUACAGGGUCAGCCUACCUUCAGACUGCUCAGUGCUGCAAUGCCAGAGAGAGUCAACCGCUGUCAGCCAUUUGCUUAUCCUCGUAAAGCCCAAAAAUCAAUCCCUGAAAUAAAGCAAGCAUAGCUGCAUUGAUCUGGCA